This 348-nucleotide ribosomal RNA is filed under the name Triticum aestivum (bread wheat). RNAcentral describes it as "partial small subunit ribosomal RNA". The record is from RNAcentral. Lineage: Eukaryota; Viridiplantae; Streptophyta; Magnoliopsida; Poales; Poaceae.
AUGUUUCUUGAUGUGAAUACUAGUGAUGAUGUCCUGUCAUUAGACACUAGCUCUAGUUCUGCCUCUGCUACCAUGUCACAUGUUCAUAAACUGGCAGGUGAUAAGAAGAAAGGACUAAAGUUGAAGGCAAGUUCAAAUACACUAGGCACUAUUGCAUGUGCUACACCGCAGAAGGAAGAAAACAUGGGUGCUUCUGAUUAUUGCAUGCUGACCAAGUUGAUGGAGGCCCCCAUUACUUUUAAUGGAGAAAUUGCAAUUCAACUUGUAGUUCCGCAGGAAGUGAAGCCGGCGUUUAGAACGCCAUGCAGAUGGAUCAUGGUUGGUUCACUGCCAAUUCCUGUUACGUAA